GGGAGACUCUAGGCGCUGCCAUCAUGUCGACGGCCAUGAACUUUGGGUCCAAGAGCUUCCAGCCGCGGCCACCGGACAAGGGCAGCUUCCCGCUGGAUCACUUUGGUGAAUGUAAAAGCUUUAAGGAGAAGUUCAUGAAGUGUCUCCGUGACAAUAACUUUGAAAAUGCUUUGUGCAGAAAUGAAUCAAAAGAAUAUUUAGAAUGCAGGAUGGAGAGGCAACUGAUGGCACAGGAGCCCCUGGAAAAACUGGGCUUUGGAGAUUUGAAGGACGGAAAGUCUGACCGAGACUGAACCUGGUGAAAGGCCGCACAGCUGUGGGGGGUCCGGACGACCCCGCCCCCGGCGGCUGGCGUGUUGGUACCACGGCUCGGGGUGGGGGGGCUCUGGGGGCGCCCGCCAGAUGCCGCUGGAAGUCAGAACGGACGCCCCUCCCCGAGGACGCAGCUCGUGGCCGGGCAGGGGCUGGUCUUCGACGCUCCCGAGGAUGUCGGAAACCCGUCGCCCCGCCACAGCCCUGCCGACCCCGCGGCGUUGGGUGCGUCUGAAGUCGCGGGUGUGACGGGCUCCCGCGGAGGUGGCUGCCAUGUGGCGUGCGCCCAGCGACUGGUCAGCUCGGGCUCCUGGGGACGCUGGUUCGCAUCGCGGUCUCGGCGCGUUUUGUGUGUGACGUGCGAAAGGGUCGCAGUGUCGUCGUUGGGCACAUGGGUCGUCGGGAAGUCGUCCCCCAGCACUCGGGUUCCUCUUCGUAUCUUGGACGCAGACACAAGUGCCCCUCACCUCCUUUUUUUAACAAGAACAGAGGACGAGCCCAGAAGUGGGAAAUGGGCUUUUGACGUAUCUGACGUCUCGAUUUUUUUUAUGGUGACGCCUGGCACCGAGUAUCUGUCUGAUCAAGGCUCGUUUUCUGGUUCAUAUCAGACCGUAUUUGUAAAACUAGAUGUUGGGUUGGUUCCAAGAACGCAUUUGCUGUCGCUGAGAGACAGAAUGUCUCCGUGGGUCAGUCGUUUUGCACAUGUGGCCUCCCAGGCCUUUGAGGACGCUCGUGAGCCCCCGGCCGGCGCUGCAGCAGCCCGUGCCCACUGCCCGCUGCCCGGAGCGCCGUCAGAACAGACGUCACAGGUGUGCAGACCUGCAGCGAGUGUCUGGGGUGACGCCGCGUGGGCUCAGAACCACAGCAGGGCGCCGUGCCCGAGGGUGAGGCCUGUUUGCCUGGACGAGGCCAGUGGGAGGUGGUGGUGGGAGGAUCCGGGUCGUCCCCGCUGGGACAGGGGCCGGCCAUGGCUGGUGGGGACAGCCAGCCCGAGCUCCGCUUCUGCCUGGUGACCAGGCUGGGCUCUGGGAAGCGCUGCUCCUUGGCUGCGUCCAGGCGCUGUCCGCGUCCUUCGGUGGAGGCCGUACGGGGUCACGCCCUCCCCGACAGUCCUGGUCCCAUUUCCGGGGGCGGAGGGGCCCCCUCACCUAGCACCGCUGCCCCGUUGGUGGUUCAGCGCCAAGCACUCCGUCUGUCACUCCUCAGCCGUGCUCUGCCUCACGCUUCCAAUUGUGCUGCACGUUUUUUCCGUAUUUUUAGUUAGUUUAUGAAAAGUCUUGGUUUUUGGUUACCUGAAUCACGAACAUAUUUUGUAUUUUCUUUUCAUUUUUUUUAGGGCCGCACCCAUGGCAUCUGGAGGUUCCCAGGCUAGGGGUCCAGUGGGAGCUGUAGCUGCCGGCCUACACCACAGCCACAACAAUGCCAGAUCCUCAGCGCACUGAGCAAGGCCAGGGAUCGAACCUGCAACCUCGGGGUUACUAGUCGGAUUUGUCUCCGCUGUGCGACAGUGGGAACUCUGAAAAUAUAUUGUAUUUUCCGACAUGUUGCACACGCACAGCGUUCGUUGUUUGUAAUUACAAAGCAUCAACAGACCUAAACGCCCCCCCUCAUCCCCUGAGCUGCUUGGAGACGGCGCCCUGAGCAUCUGGAGUGGGCGCGUGAGGCCCAGAGAGCAUGGCAGUGGGGGUGGGGGCUGGACUAGGGAGACCCUUGCAUGCUGGAGCCAAAGAAACCGGGAGGGCAAAGCGGAUGCUAUGCGGACGGUCAGCACAGGGCAGGGUGGGGACGGGGGUGUCACCUCUCUGUGCCUCUGGGUGCCGUCGACUCAUGAGCGGACCGGCUGUGGGACAGCAGCAGUGACAGCCCUGUUGCCCAGGCAGGCCCUGCCCACCUGGAGGGGCUGGCGAGAUGGGGCUCGCCCAGGUAACCUUGGAAAACGGUGCUGCGACAAAAGCUGGGCACCGAGAGACAAGACUUGAAGUGCGCUUGUUUUUCACGAGGGCAGCAGUUCUGAGGCCCGAGUUCCGGGCUGGGAGAAGCUGGAGCUGUGUUGUGGGUAACGACAGCGACUGUGUGGGGUCCCGGAUCCCUGACGUCUGCAAAGGCAGCGGCUGGAGAAGUGGGUGGCAGCUGUGUGUGUGUGUGUGUGUGUCUGUCUGUCUGUCUGGACGUCUCCCCGGCUGUGGGCACUGAGGGGCUAGAGGCAGCGACCCCAGCAGCACGGUGCACCCCGCGGCCGGCUCUAGGUCUGAGGCAGCCCUCUCGGGAGGAACCAGGACUCCUGGAAGAAAUGGCUGAGUCCAGGCCCAAGGCCCAGAAAGCCAGGGGAGCCUCUUACGCCGGAAAGGUAGGAAUUGCUGGAGUUCCCUCUGUGGCUCAGUGGUUGAUGAACCUGACUAGUAUCCAUGAGAACAUGGGUUCGAUCCCUGUCCUCGCUCCGUGGGUGAAGGAUCUGGCAUUGCCGUGAGCUGUGGUGAAGGUCGCAGACAAGGCUCGGAUCCUGCGUUGCUGUGGCUGUGGUGUAGGCCGGCAGCUGCAGCUCCAAUUCGACCCCUGGCCUGGGAACCUCCAUGUGCCGCAGGUGCUGCCCUAAAAGACAAAAGACCCCCCCACCAAAAAAAAUGGGAUAGGGGAAGGAAUGGCUGAAACAUGACGGGGCUUCUUGAAGAACAGGUCUCGGAGCUCCCAUUGGCACAGCAUAAGUGGCGGAAACGGGGUAUAGCCCACAAAAUAAGCUCCUGUCCAGGAGUCCGUGCUGAUGGAAGCGAGUAACUAAGAGCCUCGGUGCGGGAAGGGCAGCCCCUCUGGGUUCCCGCCAGCCUGGGGGCAGGAGACGCCACCUGCAAGCCCGGGAGUGUCGGUGGCCUGGGAUGGGGGCAUGUGCUGUGCAGCAGCUUCGCUGGUCUGGAGGCCGCCCUGCAGGCACCUGCUCAGCAGUGAGGGGUCGGCGUGGUCCCCACGGCCCUACCCCCGCCACCUGACGCCCCGAGAAGGUGCAGGGUCACUUCUGCGGUUUUCUUGGCAGGACGGCAUCACCUCAGUGUAGUGAGAACACGCAGGCCAGCCGGGCCCGAGGGACAAACUGUGACGGGAAGACGGGUGCGCCUCAGAGGCGCCUGCCGGGGCCAGGGUCCUGGGAGGCCUGAGGACCCGCAGGCCAGGUGGCGCUCAGAGGCGGUCCUCUGGGGAAGGGUGCCCACACGCCGGCCUGUCUCUCUAACCUUUUGGAAAUCUGGAAUUAUUUCAAAAUAAAGAGUUAAAAAAAAAUGCUUGGGGGAGUUCUGUUGUGGCACAGCGGAAAUGAAUCUGACUUGUAUCCUGAGGCUGCAGGCUCGAUCCCUGGCCUCCCUCGGUGGGUCAGGGAUCCGGCAUUGCUGUGAGCUGUGGUGUAGGUCACAGAUGCGGCUCGGAUCUGGUGUUGCUGUGGCUGUGGUGUAGGCCGGCAGCUGCAGCUCCACUUCGACCCCUAGCCUGGAACUUCCACAUGGAACAAAAAAGCCCUGAAAAGACCAAAAAUAAGAAAAAUUGGGGAGUUCCCAUUGUGGCACAGUGGAAACUAAUCCGACUAGUCCAUGAGGACGCAGUUUGAUCCCUGGCCUCGCUCAGUGGGUUAAGGGCUCGGAUCUGGCACUGCUGUGGCUGUGGUGUAGGUUGCAGGCAGGGCUCGGAUCUGGUGUGCCUGUGGCUGUGGUGUAGUCCUGCAGCUGCAGCUCUGAUUCAGCCCCUUGCCUGGAAAGUUCCAUGUGCCUCUGGUGCGACCCUAAAAAGCAAAAAAAAAGAAAAAA
Molecule: long non-coding RNA, 4097 nt
Filed under: Sus scrofa (pig)
Lineage: Eukaryota; Metazoa; Chordata; Mammalia; Artiodactyla; Suidae
Description: lncRNA (ENSSSCG00055007635.1)
Source: RNAcentral